UAAUUAUCGGAAGCCCAUCACGUGGAGGAACUGUUUCGUAGGAGCGCGCCUCCCUUUCCCAGCCACUGGUUCUCCUGACCCCGAAUGUGGGGAGUGACUUCAGUCUCCUGACAUCCAGUGUUCUCUCGAGCCAGCUUCCAGCCCACCGAAAAUGAGCUUUUCCGGAGAUGGGCAUCUUAUUCCAGUCCCCUCCCUGUGAAUGUGUGGAGAAAAAGAGAUGGGAACGAGUCAGAGGAAAUAGAGAAAUUUUGAAAGAGAAAUGAAGAAUGAGAGAACCAUUGAUAGACGGCAAAGUAGAAGGAUUCACUUCCAAAGAGACAUAUUAUGCAAGGAAGCAACUCGGAAAACGAAAGAGAAGGAGUCAGGAAUGGCCCUUACUCAGGGACCCUUGAAAUUCAUGGACGUGGCUAUAGAAUUCUCUCAGGAGGAGUGGAAAUGCCUGGAGCCUGCUCAGAGGACUCUGUACAGGGACGUGAUGUUGGAGAACUAUAGGAACCUGGUCUCCCUGGGAAUCUGUCUGCCUGACCUGAGUGUUAUCUCCACGUUAGAACAAAAGAAAGAUCCCUGGAUUCUGCAGAGUGAAGAGAAAAUAGCAAACAAUCCGGAUGGCAGGGAAUGCAUCAAAGGUGUGAACACAGGCUG
Long non-coding RNA from Cercocebus atys (sooty mangabey), 642 nucleotides. RefSeq lists it as uncharacterized. The record is from RefSeq and is a predicted model, not a curated record. The transcript is spliced from 2 exons. Lineage: Eukaryota; Metazoa; Chordata; Mammalia; Primates; Cercopithecidae.